GCGAGGCUGGGCAACUACCCAGGCUCUUCCUCGUGUAACCUCAAGCCCUAACACCACUUCCAACAACCUUUCAUUCAAUCUCUUUCACUUUCACACAAUAUUCCUCACUUUCAUCACACCAUACACACCCCAACAUAAUCUCCAUGCCGCCCCGCCGCUUCCUCAACGUCUCAGCCGCUCAUGACGUCAACCAGUCCCUUCAUGAGUCGCCACCAGAAUCCACUCAUCGUCGCCACUGGUUGUGGCUUAUGUAUCAAAUUGUUAUCGAUGUCGUUACCACCAUUUUGCAACUUGUACACUAAGCGUUCGAGCUAAGUUUGGAAGCUUCUUUAAGAGUGGACGGUUUAAUCCACCAGUCGUGCAGUAUCGUCGGAUGAGCAUUGCUUUGGUUUCUUCUUCCAAGGGUAACUCAUAAUCACCAUCAACAUUUUAUUUUAGAGUUAUAGGAUGUAGCAUUGGUUCUUUCUUUACCGACCAUGAUG
Molecule: long non-coding RNA, 482 nt
Organism: Vicia villosa (hairy vetch)
Lineage: Eukaryota; Viridiplantae; Streptophyta; Magnoliopsida; Fabales; Fabaceae
Exons: 3
Source: RefSeq, a predicted model, not a curated record